RNAcentral lists this non-coding RNA (185 nucleotides) under bovine gut metagenome. The record is from RNAcentral.
CAGGUGUCGGAAGACUCAAUAAGGAAGUCCGGUGCGGGGAUAUCCCCAAGGCCGGUGCGGUCCCGCCACUGUAUCAGCGAGCGAAUCUGCCUUGUGCCUUAUGGUGCAAAGUUAUGUCACUGGGGGAGUUCCCUUGGGAAGGCGCAGAGGAGCGAUGACCUGGAGCCAGGAGAAUUGCCUGAUUG